This 1043-nucleotide ribosomal RNA is filed under the name Ehrlichia canis. Its description in RNAcentral is "partial 16S ribosomal RNA". The record is from RNAcentral. Lineage: Bacteria; Pseudomonadati; Pseudomonadota; Alphaproteobacteria; Rickettsiales; Anaplasmataceae.
CUGGGGGGGUUGGGCGGCCGGGGUGCCUUUCUGCGUCGGGCCGGACUAGGGGGUGGGGGCUUCCCCCCGAUGGGGGUGUCACGGGGGCUGCCCCCCGGGGGGGCGGGGCGCCCCCCCUGUCCAGGGGGGGGGGGCGUACUCCCUGGCCGGGGUUUGGCUCCCCAGGGUAAGCCCUUUCCUCGGUGCGAGCGGCCAUCCGCGGCUGGCUUGAACGAAGACCUUACCCCCCGGGGUUGCCGGGGGGACCCGUCCCGGGGGCUGCCCGGCUGCAGUGAGCGUGCUGCCUGGCCCCGGCUGCCCUCCUUUCUCAUGGCCGGGGGAGCGCUUUGGGCGUGCCGAUGUGGGAUGCGCCGAACGCCCCUGGCCGGAUGCCCAAAAUGUGGGUUUAAUGUGAACCCGGGAAGGUAGUAUUCCUAUUUAAGCCCCAAUUUUGCACCUGUUGGUGGGAUGGGCUUCAAGCUAGACUAUUAGUGUCGUCAUCCCACUAAUGAAUUAACAUCCCUAUGUUACAAUUUCCGACUAUUCUGGCAAUCCUGUUCACUCAUCUUACUUGAUAUUUUGAACUUAAAACUAUUGACUAAGUUCAAAACUUAAUUAAAUAAUUUAAAAUUUCAAAUGGAAAAGUGGAAUUUGAAGUGUGAAUGGGAAUUAAAUGGGGGGCAUUUUCCUUUUUUAUUUAAUCCAAUUUGGAUUUGUUUUUUUUUUAACAUUUAUAUUAAUUGAAACUUUUAAAAUGUUUUAAUGUAAAUUGUACAAAAAUCAUUCAAUUUGCUUUUAACAAUUUUUAAAUGUUUGAAUGCUUUUUAAAUACAAUUUCCUUUUUGCACAUUUGUAAAUUUUUUGCAAAAUUUUUAAAUUGCGUAAAAUUAUAAAACUUUAAUUAAAUCAUUUAAUGAUUACUCGAAUGCCUAAAAAAUUUUGAAAAUUGUAAAACCCUGCAUCCUUAAACUUGCACAAAAUCAACUUCCAAAUUCUUGCUAGUUUUUUAAUUACAUUGACUACUUUUAACAACAAUUGAAAAACUUGACAAUGGAAAAUUUUGC